CUGAUUUUAUCUAUAUUGACUAAAUUCAAAAUUUGCUAUAUUUUAGAAACUAAAAACUUAUUUAAUUUAAUCCCAAAUUUUAAGAACUAAUGUGCUAUCAUCAAAACAUUAUGUAUGCUUCAAAACAAAAAAAAUCAAAACAUUAUGUACAUGUAGAUCUAGCUUGUACCACUAUCUAGAGAGUGUUGGGAACGUAUUUCAAGGUCAUCUAAUUAACCAGAUGAUAACCCGAAAUCGCCCUCAAUC
This 246-nucleotide long non-coding RNA is filed under the name Trifolium pratense (red clover). Its description in RNAcentral is "long non-coding RNA (TPRA_LNC005606)". The record is from RNAcentral. Lineage: Eukaryota; Viridiplantae; Streptophyta; Magnoliopsida; Fabales; Fabaceae.